This 377-nucleotide ribosomal RNA is filed under the name uncultured eukaryote. RNAcentral describes it as "partial 18S ribosomal RNA". It matches the Rfam family "Eukaryotic small subunit ribosomal RNA", at positions 592 to 976 of the family's 1831-position model. The record is from RNAcentral.
CAAUAGCGUAUAUUAAAGUUGUUGCAGUUAAAAAGCUCGUAGUUGGAUUUCGGGGUGGCCUGCCUGGUCCACCGCAAGGUGAGUACUGGUCAGCCGCCCUUCCUCUCGAAAGCCCCGACUGCUCUUCAUUGCAGUGGUCGGGUAGUUCGGGACGUUUACUUUGAAAAAAUUAGGGUGUUCAAGGCAGGCUAUCGCCUGAAUACAUUAGCAUGGAAUAAUGGAAGAGGACCUCGGUCCUAUUUUGUUGGUUUCUAGGGCCGAAGUAAUGAUUAAGAGGGACAGUUGGGGGCAUUCGUAUUUAAUUGUCAGAGGUGAAAUUCUUGGAUUUAUGAAAGACGAACUAGUGCGAAAGCAUUUGCCAAGGAUGUUUUCAUUAA